This 490-nucleotide ribosomal RNA is filed under the name uncultured bacterium. RNAcentral's name for it is "partial 16S ribosomal RNA". It matches the Rfam family "Bacterial small subunit ribosomal RNA", at positions 30 to 507 of the family's 1533-position model. The record is from RNAcentral.
AUUGAACGCUGGCGGCAGGCCUAACACAUGCAAGUCGAACGGUAACAGGAAGCAGCUUGCUGCUUUGCUGACGAGUGGCGGACGGGUGAGUAAUGUCUGGGAAACUGCCCGAUGGAGGGGGAUAACUACUGGAAACGGUAGCUAAUACCGCAUAACGUCGCAAGACCAAAGAGGGGGACCUUAGGGCCUCUUGCCAUCGGCUGUGCCCAGAUGGGAUUAGCUAGUAGGUGGGGUAACGGCUCACCUAGGCGACGAUCCCUAGCUGGUCUGAGAGGAUGACCAGCCACACUGGAACUGAGACACGGUCCAGACUCCUACGGGAGGCAGCAGUGGGGAAUAUUGCACAAUGGGCGAAAGCCUGAUGCAGCCAUGCCGCGUGUAUGAAGAAGGCCUUCGGGUUGUAAAGUACUUUCAGCGGGGAGGAAGGGAGUAAAGUUAAUACCUUUGCUCAUUGACGUUACCCGCAGAAGAAGCACCGGCUAACUCCGUG